This 235-nucleotide ribosomal RNA is filed under the name uncultured bacterium. Its description in RNAcentral is "partial 16S ribosomal RNA". It matches the Rfam family "Bacterial small subunit ribosomal RNA", at positions 385 to 633 of the family's 1533-position model. The record is from RNAcentral.
GAAGCAGCAACGCCGCGUGAGGGAUGACGGCCUUCGGGUUGUAAACCUCUUUCAGCAGGGACUAAGCGAAAGUGACUGUACCUGCGGAAGAAGCGCCGGCUAACUACGUGCCAGCAGCCGCGGUAAUACGUAGGGCGCAAGCGUUGUCCGGAUUUAUUGGGCGUAAAGAGUUCGUAUGCGGUCUGUCGCGUCGGAAGUGAAAACCCGGAGUUCACUCCGGGCCGGUUUUCAUUAC